Balaenoptera musculus (blue whale) is the source of this 73-nucleotide non-coding RNA. NCBI's taxonomy places the organism in Eukaryota, Metazoa, Chordata, Mammalia, Artiodactyla, Balaenopteridae. The record is from the annotation of a RefSeq genome assembly.
UCCCUGGUGGUCCAGUGGGUAAGACUCUGCACUCCCAAUGCAGGGGGCCCGGGUUCAAUCCCUGGUCAGGGAA